Molecule: ribosomal RNA, 492 nt
Filed under: uncultured bacterium
Lineage: Bacteria
Description: partial 16S ribosomal RNA
Rfam family: Bacterial small subunit ribosomal RNA
Source: RNAcentral
AGUGAACGCUGGCGGUAGGCCUAACACAUGCACGUCUAACGGCAGCACAGUCCGAGCUUGCUUUUACGGGUGGCGAGUGGCGGCCGGGUGCGGAAUACCUCAGUCUCUACUUUUUCGUGGGGGAUAACGUAGGGAAACUUAAGCUAAUACAGCAUACGACCUACGGGUGAAAGCAGGGGCUCUUCGGCCCUUGCGCGAUCCAUUGCGCCGAUUUCGGAUUAGUUAGUUGGCGGGGUAAAGGCCCACCAAGGCGACGAUCCGUAGCUGGUCUGUGAGGAUGAUCAGGCACACGAGAACGAGAACACGGUCCAGACUCCUACGGGAGGGAGCAGUGGGGAAUAGUGGACAAUGGGCGCAAACCUUAUCCAGCCAUACCGCAUAGGUGAAGAAGGCCUUCGGGUUGUAAAGCCCUUUUGUUGGGAAAGAAAAGCAGCAGCUUAAUAUCCCGCUGUUCUGACGGUACCCAAAGAAUAAGCACCGGCUAACUUCGUG